This 563-nucleotide ribosomal RNA is filed under the name Trichoderma sp. RNAcentral's name for it is "eukaryotic LSU rRNA". The stretch from base 188 to 341 matches the Rfam family "5.8S ribosomal RNA". The record is from RNAcentral. Lineage: Eukaryota; Fungi; Ascomycota; Sordariomycetes; Hypocreales; Hypocreaceae.
UCCCAAACCCAAUGUGAACGUUACCAAACUGUUGCCUCGGCGGGAUCUCUGCCCCGGGUGCGUCGCAGCCCCGGACCAAGGCGCCCGCCGGAGGACCAACCAAAACUCUUUUUGUAUACCCCCUCGCGGGUUUUUUAUAAUCUGAGCCUUCUCGGCGCCUCUCGUAGGCGUUUCGAAAAUGAAUCAAAACUUUCAACAACGGAUCUCUUGGUUCUGGCAUCGAUGAAGAACGCAGCGAAAUGCGAUAAGUAAUGUGAAUUGCAGAAUUCAGUGAAUCAUCGAAUCUUUGAACGCACAUUGCGCCCGCCAGUAUUCUGGCGGGCAUGCCUGUCCGAGCGUCAUUUCAACCCUCGAACCCCUCCGGGGGGUCGGCGUUGGGGAUCGGCCCUGCCUUUGGCGGUGGCCGUCUCCGAAAUACAGUGGCGGUCUCGCCGCAGCCUCUCCUGCGCAGUAGUUUGCACACUCGCAUCGGGAGCGCGGCGCGUCCACAGCCGUUAAACACCCAACUUCUGAAAUGUUGACCUCGGAUCAGGUAGGAAUACCCGCUGAACUUAAGCAUAUCA